UGGCCCCGCUCCCUCUGCUGCCCCAGCAGAGCAGCCCCCGGCUCCAGGCACUGAGGAUGCCAGCACCUCCAAGGCCAAGGAGAGCACGAGUGCAGCCACUCCUCCCCCGGUGAGGAACGGGCAGGCAGCCCCAGCCCCAGCCCCAGCCCCGGGCCAGGCAGCGCCCAGCAGCUCCCAGCUCGCUGUCAGCCAGCCCCAGAACGCUGCUGGGCCCAGUCCCCACGCCCUGAGGAGAGCUAUGAAGAAGCCUGCACCAGCCCCCCCCAAGCCAGCCAACCCCCCCCCGGGGCAGCCAGGCAGCCAAAGCUCUUCCCCAGCUGCUCAGCCUCCUUCUGUCUCUCCCAAGCCCCCGGGCAGGA
Molecule: long non-coding RNA, 359 nt
Filed under: Zonotrichia albicollis (white-throated sparrow)
Lineage: Eukaryota; Metazoa; Chordata; Aves; Passeriformes; Passerellidae
Description: lncRNA (ENSZALG00000009927.1)
Source: RNAcentral